UACAGAGGUGGCAAGCGUUGUUCGGAAUUACUGGGCGUAAAGGGCGCGUAGGCGGCCUCUUUAGUCAGACGUGAAAUCCCCCGGCUUAACCUGGGAACUGCGUCUGAUACUGGGAGGCUAGAGUUCGGGAGAGGGAUGUAGAAUUCCAGGUGUAGCGGUGAAAUGCGUAGAUAUCUGGAGGAACACCGGUGGCGAAGGCGGCAUCCUGGACCGACACUGACACUGAGGAGCGAAAGCCAGGGGAGCAAACGGG
RNAcentral lists this ribosomal RNA (253 nucleotides) under uncultured bacterium. Its description in RNAcentral is "partial 16S ribosomal RNA". It matches the Rfam family "Bacterial small subunit ribosomal RNA", at positions 524 to 776 of the family's 1533-position model. The record is from RNAcentral.